This 232-nucleotide unclassified non-coding RNA is filed under the name Mycobacterium parascrofulaceum. RNAcentral's name for it is "partial 16S-23S ribosomal RNA intergenic spacer". The record is from RNAcentral. Lineage: Bacteria; Bacillati; Actinomycetota; Actinomycetes; Mycobacteriales; Mycobacteriaceae.
GUGCGGCUGGAUCACCUCCUUUCUAAGGAGCACCACGAAAAGCACCCCAAUUGGUGGGGUGCGAGCCGUGAGGGGUUCCCGCCCGUAGUGGGUGGGGGCCGGGUGCGCAACAGCAAAUAAUUGCCAGACACACUAUUGGGCCCUGAGACAACACUCGGCUCGUUCUGAGUGGUGUCCCUCCAUCUUGGUGGUGGGGUGUGGUGUUUGAGUAUUGGAUAGUGGUUGCGAGCAU